This 253-nucleotide ribosomal RNA is filed under the name uncultured bacterium. Its description in RNAcentral is "partial 16S ribosomal RNA". It matches the Rfam family "Bacterial small subunit ribosomal RNA", at positions 524 to 776 of the family's 1533-position model. The record is from RNAcentral.
UACGGGGGGUGCGAGCGUUGUCCGGAAUCACUGGGCGUAAAGGGCGCGUAGGUGGUUUGAUAAGGGUGUGGUGAAAGUCCGGGGCUCAACCCCGGAUCUGCCGUGCCGACUGUCAAACUCGAGGACUGUAGAGGCAGACGGAAUUCCGGGUGUAGUGGUGGAAUGCGUAGAGAUCCGGAGGAACACCAGCGGCGAAGGCGGCAUCCUGGACUGGUACUGACGCUCAAGAGCGAAAGCGUGGGGAGCAAACAGG